This 857-nucleotide ribosomal RNA is filed under the name uncultured Streptococcus sp. RNAcentral describes it as "bacterial SSU rRNA". It matches the Rfam family "Bacterial small subunit ribosomal RNA", at positions 31 to 870 of the family's 1533-position model. Lineage: Bacteria; Bacillati; Bacillota; Bacilli; Lactobacillales; Streptococcaceae. The record is from RNAcentral.
GAACGCUGGCGGCGUGCCUAAUACAUGCAAGUAGAACGCUGAAGAGAGGAGCUUGCUCUUCUUGGAUGAGUUGCGAACGGGUGAGUAACGCGUAGGUAACCUGCCUUGUAGCGGGGGAUAACUAUUGGAAACGAUAGCUAAUACCGCAUAACAAUGGGUGACACAUGUCAUUUAUUUGAAAGGGGCAAUUGCUCCACUACAAGAUGGACCUGCGUUGUAUUAGCUGGUAGGUGAGGUAACGGCUCACCUAGGCGACGAUACAUAGCCGACCUGAGAGGGUGAUCGGCCACACUGGGACUGAGACACGGCCCAGACUCCUACGGGAGGCAGCAGUAGGGAAUCUUCGGCAAUGGGGGCAACCCUGACCGAGCAACGCCGCGUGAGUGAAGAAGGCUUUCGGAUCGUAAAGCUCUGUUGUAAGUCAAGAACGAGUGUGAGAGUGGAAAGUUCACACUGUGACGGUAGCUUACCAGAAAGGGACGGCUAACUACGUGCCAGCAGCCGCGGUAAUACGUAGGUCCCGAGCGUUGUCCGGAUUUAUUGGGCGUAAAGCGAGCGCAGGCGGUUUGAUAAGUCUGAAGUUAAAGGCUGUGGCUCAACCAUAGUUCGCUUUGGAAACUGUCAAACUUGAGUGCAGAAGGGGAGAGUGGAAUUCCAUGUGUAGCGGUGAAAUGCGUAGAUAUACGGAGGAACACCGGUGGCGAAAGCGGCUCUCUGGUCUGUAACUGACGCUGAGGCUCGAAAGCGUGGGGAGCGAACAGGAUUAGAUACCCUGGUAGUCCACGCCGUAAACGAUGAGUGCUAGGUGUUAGAUCCUUUCCGGGAUUCAGUGCCGCAGCUAACGCAUUAAGCACUCC